Molecule: ribosomal RNA, 963 nt
Filed under: uncultured Flavisolibacter sp.
Lineage: Bacteria; Pseudomonadati; Bacteroidota; Chitinophagia; Chitinophagales; Chitinophagaceae
Description: bacterial SSU rRNA
Rfam family: Bacterial small subunit ribosomal RNA
Source: RNAcentral
CCGGAUUCACUGGGUUUAAAGGGUGCGUAGGCGGACAGGUAAGUCCGUGGUGAAAUCUCCGAGCUUAACUCGGAAACUGCCAUGGAUACUAUUUGUCUUGAAUACUGUGAAGGUGAGCGGAAUAUGUCAUGUAGCGGUGAAAUGCUUAGAUAUGACAUAGAACACCAAUUGCGAAGGCAGCUCACUGCGCAGCGAUUGACGCUGAGGCACGAAAGCGUGGGGAUCAAACAGGAUUAGAUACCCUGGUAGUCCACGCCCUAAACGAUGGAUACUCGACAUACGUGAUAUGACUAUGUGUGUCUGAGCGAAAGCAUUAAGUAUCCCACCUGGGAAGUACGACCGCAAGGUUGAAACUCAAAGGAAUUGGCGGGGGUCCGCACAAGCGGUGGAGCAUGUGGUUUAAUUCGAUGAUACGCGAGGAACCUUACCUGGGCUAGAAUGCAAUCUGACCGUGGGUGAAAGCUCAUUUUGUAGCAAUACACAGAUUGUAAGGUGCUGCAUGGCUGUCGUCAGCUCGUGCCGUGAGGUGUUGGGUUAAGUCCCGCAACGAGCGCAACCCCCAUCAGUAGUUGCCAUCAGGUAACGCUGGGAACUCUACUGAAACUGCCGUCGUAAGACGUGAGGAAGGAGGGGAUGAUGUCAAGUCAUCAUGGCCUUUAUGCCCAGGGCUACACACGUGCUACAAUGGGGCGUACAAAGGGCUGCCACUUAGCGAUAAGGAGCCAAUCCCAAAAAACGCCUCUCAGUUCAGAUCGCAGUCUGCAACUCGACUGCGUGAAGCUGGAAUCGCUAGUAAUCGUAUAUCAGCAAUGAUACGGUGAAUACGUUCCCGGACCUUGCACACACCGCCCGUCAAGCCAUGGAAGCUGGGUGUACCUAAAGUCGGUAACCGCUAAGGAGCCGCCUAGGGUAAAACUAGUAACUGGGGCUAAGUCGUAACAAGGUAACCGUAAAGGGCGAAUU